GAUGAACGCUGGCGGCGUGCCUAAUACAUGCAAGUCGAACGCCAAAGGAGGAGCUUGCUCUUCUGGCUGAGUUGCGAACGGGUGAGUAACGCGUAGGUAACCUGCCUGGUAGCGGGGGGUAACUAUUGGAAACGAUAGCUAAUACCGCACGACAACAGUUAUUGCAUGAUAACCGUUGAAAAGGGGCAACUGCUCCACUACCAGAAGCAGCUGCGUUGUAUUCGCUAGUUUGUGAGGGAACGGCCCACCAAGGCGACGAUACAUAGCCGGCCGGAGAGGGGUAUCGGCCAACAUUGGACUGGGACACGGCCCAGAACCCUAAGGGGAGCAGCAAGAGGGGAACUUCGGCCAUGGGCGGAAGUCUGAACGAGGACCGCCGGGGUGGUGAAGAAGGGUUUCGGGUCGUAAAGCUCUGUUGUAAGAGAAGAAAGAGUGUGAGGGUGGAAAGUUCACGCUGUGACGGUACCUUACCAGAAAGGGACGGCUAACUUCGUG
Molecule: ribosomal RNA, 495 nt
Filed under: uncultured bacterium
Lineage: Bacteria
Description: partial 16S ribosomal RNA
Rfam family: Bacterial small subunit ribosomal RNA
Source: RNAcentral